Molecule: long non-coding RNA, 674 nt
Filed under: Mus musculus (house mouse)
Lineage: Eukaryota; Metazoa; Chordata; Mammalia; Rodentia; Muridae
Description: long non-coding RNA chr3:8462428-8463102
Source: RNAcentral
CUGCAGGACAGUGACCCAGCAUGGCAGCCCUAAGUAUGUGUGUGACCACUUGUGGAUCUGGUUGGUGAAGGUGCCAAAGAUGGUCAGACAGAAGACGAAGCAUUCCCAAGGGUACAGCUGCUCCAGGGUCUCUGAGCUAUGGGUCCGGAACUUGUAGGCCAUGUUUAGCAGUGGCAGCAGCGUGACCAGGCAGUUGUCCUCAUUGGUCUCGAUGAAGUCGUGCCUUGUGAUGGCUGUGGGGUCAAUGUGGUGCUCCCGGAACGGCCGGAUGAAGGCCUUCCCAACAAUGGGCAGAUCCACAGGGCCCCACGUAUCAGCACCCCAAUGUACCAGGCCGGACAGGAAGUCAGCGACGAGAGCCCCUGCAACGACACCCAGGAUCACGAGGGGUGUGUGCUCCCAGCGGGCCAGCAGCAGGAGGUGGACCAAGUCGCGAUGAGACUGAAACAGAGGAUCACUGAACACCACUCCUGGAAGCGCUUGCCUGGCGAGUAAAGCGCCGCCAGCUCACGGGCUCCCGUGUGCUGUGUGCCCCAGCGCCGACCCUCCGCCUUCUUGUCCUCGUCCAGCUCCGGCUGCCGUCCCAGCGUGUCCUCGGCGCCUGCCAUGGCCCAUCGCCCGGCCCGCCCGCUCCCUUACCAGUUUAUAACUUCUAUGAAUAUUCCCAUUUAAAG